Molecule: transfer RNA, 74 nt
Filed under: Achromobacter xylosoxidans
Lineage: Bacteria; Pseudomonadati; Pseudomonadota; Betaproteobacteria; Burkholderiales; Alcaligenaceae
Also listed under: 1 other name
Description: tRNA-Glu
Source: RNAcentral
GAACCGUUCGACUUCCGGGAGGUCAACAGGUCUUCACCCUGUUCAGGCGGGUUCGACACCCGUACGGUUCUCCA